This 253-nucleotide ribosomal RNA is filed under the name uncultured bacterium. RNAcentral describes it as "partial 16S ribosomal RNA". It matches the Rfam family "Bacterial small subunit ribosomal RNA", at positions 524 to 776 of the family's 1533-position model. The record is from RNAcentral.
UACGUAGGGUGCGAGCGUUGUCCGGAAUUAUUGGGCGUAAAGGGCUCGUAGGCGGUCUGUCGCGUCGGGAGUGAAAACUCAGGGCUUAACCCUGAGCCUGCUUCCGAUACGGGCAGACUAGAGGUAUGCAGGGGAGAACGGAAUUCCUGGUGUAGCGGUGGAAUGCGCAGAUAUCAGGAGGAACACCGGUGGCGAAGGCGCCACUCUGGGCCGGUACUGACGCUGAGGAGCGAAAGCGUGGGGAGCGAACAGG